This 579-nucleotide ribosomal RNA is filed under the name Alternaria sp. 311a. Its description in RNAcentral is "eukaryotic LSU rRNA". The stretch from base 206 to 359 matches the Rfam family "5.8S ribosomal RNA". Lineage: Eukaryota; Fungi; Ascomycota; Dothideomycetes; Pleosporales; Pleosporaceae. RNAcentral also lists the same sequence under 1 other name. The record is from RNAcentral.
UAACAAGGUCUCCGUAGGUGAACCUGCGGAGGGAUCAUUACACAAAUAUGAAGGCGGGCUGGAACCUCUCGGGGUUACAGCCUUGCUGAAUUAUUCACCCUUGUCUUUUGCGUACUUCUUGUUUCCUUGGUGGGUUCGCCCACCACUAGGACAAACAUAAACCUUUUGUAAUUGCAAUCAGCGUCAGUAACAAAUUAAUAAUUACAACUUUCAACAACGGAUCUCUUGGUUCUGGCAUCGAUGAAGAACGCAGCGAAAUGCGAUAAGUAGUGUGAAUUGCAGAAUUCAGUGAAUCAUCGAAUCUUUGAACGCACAUUGCGCCCUUUGGUAUUCCAAAGGGCAUGCCUGUUCGAGCGUCAUUUGUACCCUCAAGCUUUGCUUGGUGUUGGGCGUCUUGUCUCUAGCUUUGCUGGAGACUCGCCUUAAAGUAAUUGGCAGCCGGCCUACUGGUUUCGGAGCGCAGCACAAGUCGCACUCUCUAUCAGCAAAGGUCUAGCAUCCAUUAAGCCUUUUUUUCAACUUUUGACCUCGGAUCAGGUAGGGAUACCCGCUGAACUUAAGCAUAUCAAUAAGCGGAGG